RNAcentral lists this ribosomal RNA (491 nucleotides) under uncultured bacterium. RNAcentral describes it as "partial 16S ribosomal RNA". It matches the Rfam family "Bacterial small subunit ribosomal RNA", at positions 29 to 506 of the family's 1533-position model. The record is from RNAcentral.
AUUGAACGCUGGCGGCAUGCUUUACACAUGCAAGUCGAACGGUAACAGGCCUUCGGGUGCUGACGAGUGGCGCACGGGUGAGUAAUGCAUCGGAACGUACCCAGAGGUGGGGGAUAACGCAGCGAAAGCUGUGCUAAUACCGCAUGUGAUCUGAGGAUGAAAGCGGGGGACCGAGCAGCAAUGUUUGGCCUCGCGCCUUUGGAGCGGCCGAUGUCGGAUUAGCUAGUUGGUGGGGUAAAGGCCUACCAAGGCGACGAUCCGUAGCUGGUCUGAGGGGACGACCGGCCACAUGGGGACUGAAACACGGCCCAGCCCCCUAGGGGAGGCAGCAGGGGGGAAUUUGGGACAAGGGGGGCAACCCUGACCCAGCAAUGCCGGGGGCGGGAAGAAGGCCUGCGGGUUGUAAACCGUUUUUGGGAGGAACAAAACGGUGUCCGCUAAAACCGGGCGCUAAUGCCGGUACCUGCAAAAAAAGCACCGGUUAACUACGU